This 350-nucleotide ribosomal RNA is filed under the name uncultured bacterium. Its description in RNAcentral is "bacterial SSU rRNA". It matches the Rfam family "Bacterial small subunit ribosomal RNA", at positions 29 to 387 of the family's 1533-position model. The record is from RNAcentral.
AACGAACGCUGGCGGCAUGGAUUAGGCAUGCAAGUCGAACGCAUACCUUCGGGUAUGAGUGGCGAAAGGGUGAGGAACACGUGAGUAACCUGCCCUCAAGUUGGGAAUAACAUCUGGAAACGGGUGCUAAUACCGAAUGUGGUUGUGAUUUCGCAUGGGAUUGCAACGAAAGAUUUAUCGCUUGAGGAUGGGCUCGCGUCCCAUUAGCUAGUUGGUGAGGUAACGGCCCACCAAGGCAACGAUGGGUAGCUGGUCUGAGAGGAUGGUCAGCCACACUGGGACUGAGACACUGCCCAGACUCCUACGGGAGGCUGCAGUCGAGAAUCUUCCGCAAUGCGCGAAAGCGUGAC